CCCCUACGGGAGGCAGCAGUGGGGAAUAUUGGACAAUGGGGGGAACCCUGAUCCAGCGACGCCGCGUGAGUGAAGAAGUAUUUCGGUAUGUAAAGCUCUAUCAGCAGGGAAGAAAAUGACGGUACCUGACUAAGAAGCCCCGGCUAACUACGUGCCAGCAGCCGCGGUAAUACGUAGGGGGCAAGCGUUAUCCGGAUUUACUGGGUGUAAAGGGAGCGUAGACGGUGCAGCAAGUCUGAUGUGAAAGGUCGGGGCCCAACCCCGGGACUGCUCUUGGAACUGCGUGGCUGGAGUGCAGGAGGGGC
RNAcentral lists this ribosomal RNA (305 nucleotides) under uncultured bacterium. Its description in RNAcentral is "bacterial SSU rRNA". It matches the Rfam family "Bacterial small subunit ribosomal RNA", at positions 336 to 658 of the family's 1533-position model. The record is from RNAcentral.